Molecule: ribosomal RNA, 435 nt
Filed under: uncultured bacterium
Lineage: Bacteria
Description: partial 16S ribosomal RNA
Rfam family: Bacterial small subunit ribosomal RNA
Source: RNAcentral
AGCGAACGCUGGCGGCAGGCUUAACACAUGCGAGUCGAACGGGCUUCUUCGGAAGUCAGUGGCAGACGGGUGAGUAACACGUGGGAACGUGCCCUUCGGUUCGGAAUAACUCAGGGAAACUUGAGCUAAUACCGGAUACGCCCUUAUGGGGAAAGGUUUACUGCCGAAGGAUCGGCCCGCGUCUGAUUAGCUUGUUGGUGGGGUAACGGCCUACCAAGGCGACGAUCAGUAGCUGGUCUGAGAGGAUGAUCAGCCACACUGGGACUGAGACACGGCCCAGACUCCUACGGGAGGCAGCAGUGGGGAAUAUUGGACAAUGGGCGCAAGCCUGAUCCAGCCAUGCCGCGUGAGUGAUGAAGGCCUUAGGGUUGUAAAGCUCUUUUGUCCGGGACGAUAAUGACGGUACCGGAAGAAUAAGCCCCGGCUAACUUCGUG